GACGAACGCUGGCGGCGUGCUUAACACAUGCAAGUCGAACGGAAAGGCCCUGCUUUUGUGGGGUGCUCGAGUGGCGAACGGGUGAGUAACACGUGAGUAACCUGCCCUUGACUUUGGGAUAACUUCAGGAAACUGGGGCUCAUACCGGAUAGGAGCUCCUGCUGCAUGGUGGGGGUUGGAAAGUUUCGGCGGUUGGGGAUGGACUCGCGGCUUAUCAGCUGGUUGGUGGGGUAGUGGCUUACCAAGGCUUUGACGGGUAGCCGGCCUGAGAGGGUGACCGGCCACAUUGGGACUGAGAUACGGCCCAGACUCCUACGGGAGGCAGCAGUGGGGAAUAUUGCACAAUGGGCGGAAGCCUGAUGCAGCAACGCCGCGUGCGGGAUGACGGCCUUCGGGUUGUAAACCGCUUUCGCCUGUGACGAAGCGUGAGUGACGGUAAUGGGUAAAGAAGCACCGGCUAACUACGUG
Molecule: ribosomal RNA, 468 nt
Filed under: uncultured bacterium
Lineage: Bacteria
Description: partial 16S ribosomal RNA
Rfam family: Bacterial small subunit ribosomal RNA
Source: RNAcentral